Molecule: ribosomal RNA, 414 nt
Filed under: Catonella morbi
Lineage: Bacteria; Bacillati; Bacillota; Clostridia; Lachnospirales; Lachnospiraceae
Description: bacterial SSU rRNA
Rfam family: Bacterial small subunit ribosomal RNA
Source: RNAcentral
CGGACGGAAGUUUUCGGAUGGAAGCCUGUAAUUCUUAGUGGCGGACGGGUGAGUAACGCGUGGGCAACCUGCCCUAUACAGGGGGAUAGCAGCUGGAAACGGCUGGUAAGACCGCAUAAGUCGGUUAAAUCGCAUGAUUUGAUCGGGAAGUGAGCAAUCAGGUAUAGGAUGGGCCCGCGUCCGAUUAGCCAGUUGGCAGGGUAAAAGCCUACCAAAGCGACGAUCGGUAGCCGGACUGAGAGGUCGGACGGCCACAUUGGGACUGAGACACGGCCCAAACUCCUACGGGAGGCAGCAGUGGGGGAUAUUGCACAAUGGAGGAAACUCUGAUGCAGCGACGCCGCGUGAGUGAAGAAGUAUUUCGGUAUGUAAAGCUCUAUCAGCAGGGAAGAUGAUGACGUACCUGACUAAGAG